Molecule: unclassified non-coding RNA, 498 nt
Filed under: Apenidiella foetida
Lineage: Eukaryota; Fungi; Ascomycota; Dothideomycetes; Mycosphaerellales; Teratosphaeriaceae
Description: sequence contains 18S rRNA gene, ITS1, 5.8S rRNA gene, ITS2
Rfam family: 5.8S ribosomal RNA (bases 145-298)
Source: RNAcentral
CUGAGCUCGGGCUAUCCGCCCGACCUCCCAACCCUUCUGUCGUCUCCGACCGCGUUGCCUCGGGGGAUCCGCCUCACGGCGGCCCCCGGAGGACCACAUAACUCUGCGUAACCGUCGUCCGAGUCUAAACAAAAUUUGAAACACAACUUUCAACAACGGAUCUCUUGGCUCUGGCAUCGAUGAAGAACGCAGCGAAAUGCGAUAAGUAAUGUGAAUUGCAGAAUUCCGUGAAUCAUCGAAUCUUUGAACGCACAUUGCGCCCCUCGGUAUUCCGGGGGGCAUGCCUGUUCGAGCGUCAUUACACCAAUCAAGCCCCGGCUUGGUCUUGGGCGUCGCGGUCUCCCGCGUGCCUCAAUGUCGCCGGCUGGUGCGUCCGUCUCUAAGCGUUGUGAUCAACAGCCGCUCCAGAGGCCGGACGGGCCGCGCCGUCAAGCCUUUUCUUUACAGGUUGACCUCGGAUCAGGUAGGGAUACCCGCUGAACUUAAGCAUAUCAAUAA